AUUGAACGCUGGCGGCAGGCCUAAUACAUGCAAGUCGAACGAGUGGCGGACGGGUGAGUAAUGUCUGGGAAACUGCCUGAUGGAGGGGGACAACUACUGGAAACGGUAGCUAAUACCGCAUACCUUCGGAUGUGCACAGAUGGGCUUAGCUAGUAGGUGGGGUAAAGGCUCACCUAGGCGACGAUCCCUAGCCGGUCCGAGGGGAUGACCAGCAACACUGGAAUUAGGACACGGUCCAGACUCCUACGGGAGGCAGAAGUGGGAAAUAUUGCACAAUGGGCGCAAGCCUGAUGCGGCCAUGCCGGGUGUAUGAAGAAGUCCUUCGGGUUGUAAAGUACUUUCAGCGGGGAGGCGUUACCCACAGAAGAAGCACCGGCUAACUCCGUGCCAGCCGCCGCGGUAAUAC
Molecule: ribosomal RNA, 406 nt
Filed under: uncultured bacterium
Lineage: Bacteria
Description: partial 16S ribosomal RNA
Rfam family: Bacterial small subunit ribosomal RNA
Source: RNAcentral